RNAcentral lists this ribosomal RNA (625 nucleotides) under Micromonospora sp. Ri3Pt_4389. RNAcentral describes it as "bacterial SSU rRNA". It matches the Rfam family "Bacterial small subunit ribosomal RNA", at positions 387 to 1020 of the family's 1533-position model. The record is from RNAcentral. Lineage: Bacteria; Bacillati; Actinomycetota; Actinomycetes; Micromonosporales; Micromonosporaceae.
UGCAGCGACGCCGCGUGAGGGAUGACGGCCUAUCGGGUUGUAAACCUCUUUCAGCAGGGACGAAGCGAGAGUGACGGUACCUGCAGAAGAAGCACCGGCCAACUACGUGCCAGCAGCCGCGGUAAGACGUAGGGUGCGAGCGUUGUCCGGAUUUAUUGGGCGUAAAGAGCUCGUAGGCGGCUUGUCGCGUCGACCGUGAAAACUUGGGGCUCAACCCCAAGCCUGCGGUCGAUACGGGCAGGCUAGAGUUCGGUAGGGGAGACUGGAAUUCCUGGUGUAGCGGUGAAAUGCGCAGAUAUCAGGAGGAACACCGGUGGCGAAGGCGGGUCUCUGGGCCGAUACUGACGCUGAGGAGCGAAAGCGUGGGGAGCGAACAGGAUUAGAUACCCUGGUAGUCCACGCUGUAAACGUUGGGCGCUAGGUGUGGGGGACCUCUCCGGUUUCCUGUGCCGCAGCUAACGCAUUAAGCGCCCCGCCUGGGGAGUACGGCCGCAAGGCUAAAACUCAAAGGAAUUGACGGGGGCCCGCACAAGCGGCGGAGCAUGCGGAUUAAUUCGAUGCAACGCGAAGAACCUUACCUGGGUUUGACAUGGCCGCAAAACCUCCAGAGAUGGGGGGUCCUUCG